This is a long non-coding RNA of Oncorhynchus tshawytscha (Chinook salmon), 330 nucleotides long. RefSeq lists it as uncharacterized. The record is from RefSeq and is a predicted model, not a curated record. The transcript is spliced from 3 exons. NCBI's taxonomy places the organism in Eukaryota, Metazoa, Chordata, Actinopteri, Salmoniformes, Salmonidae.
CGGGUUUGCUGUAGGGGGACAAAAUAAAUGUAUGCACGAUGACGCACGCUCGCAGCCGGUUUGGGUUCUGUGUUAGGGUUUUAGGUAACAUUAUGGUAACAUUAGGGUUUUAGGUAACAUUAGGGUUAUAGGUAACAUUAUGGUAACAUUAGGGUUAUAGGUAACAUUAUGGUAACAUUAUGGUAACAUUAGAGUUAUAGGUAACAUUAUAGUAACAGGUUACAUUAGGGUUAUAGAUGACAUUGGGGUAACAUUAGGGUUAUAAGUGAGUGAGUGAGAGUGAGUGAGUGAGUGAGUGAGUGAGUGAGAGAGAGAGAGAGAGAGAGAGAG